GUACCCGCUGAACUUAAGCAUAUCAAUAAGCGGAGGAAAAGAAACUAACAAGGAUUCCCCUAGUAACGGCGAGUGAAGCGGGAAUAGCUCAAAUUUGAAAUCUCAUAGGAUUACCUAUGCGAAUUGUAGUUUAAAGAAGCGUUUUCGGGGGUGGCUUGGGUAUAAGUCCUUUGGAAAGAGGCAUCGUAGAGGGUGAGAAUCCCGUUUAUGAUCCAAUGUCCACUCCUAUGUGAUACGUUUUCCAAGAGUCAGGUAGUUUGGGAUUGCUGCCUAAAAUGGGUGGUAAAUACCAUCUAAAGCUAAAUACUGGCGAGAGACCGAUAGCGAACAAGUACCGUGAGGGAAAGAUGAAAAGAACUUUGAAAAGAGAGUUAAACAGUACGUGAAAUUGCCAAAAGGGAAACGCUUGGAACCAGUAUUGUCUCCAGGUAAUCAAGCGCACGUUCCGAAAGGGCCGCGUGUGUUGCACUUGCCUGAGGACAGGCCAACAUCAGUUUGGUUCGAGGUAAAAUCCCAGAGAAAGGUAGCUUGGAUUCGUCUGAGUGUUAUAGUCUCUGGUGAUGCCUUGAGCUAGACUGAGGACUGCAGCGUUAUUUGGAUAUCCCAGUUCGCCUCCUGAACCAUCUUCUUCAGACAGCAUGCUGACUUUGGGAAUGUCUAGAGAGCCGGAUUGGUGAAUCACACCAACGCUUAGGAUGUUGACGAAAUGGUUCCAAACGACCCGUCUUGAAACACGGACCAAGGAGUCUAACAUAUAUGCGAGUAUUUGGGUGGCAAACCCUCAUGCGAAAUGAAAGUGAACUUAGGUGGGACCUUCGGCGCACCAUCGACCGGUCUGGAUUUUUUUGAUAGAUCUGAGUAAGAGCAUACAUGUUGGGACCCGAAAGAUGGUGAACUAUGCCUGAAUAGGGUGAAGCCAGAGGAAACUCUGGUGGAGGCUCGUAGCGAUUCUGACGUGCAAAUCGAUCGUCAAAUUUGGGUAUAGGGGCGAAAGACUAAUCGAACCAUCUAGUAGCUGGUUCCCUCCGAAGUUUCCCUCAGGAU
This 1044-nucleotide ribosomal RNA is filed under the name Geranomyces tanneri. RNAcentral's name for it is "eukaryotic LSU rRNA". It matches the Rfam family "Eukaryotic large subunit ribosomal RNA", at positions 22 to 979 of the family's 3401-position model. The record is from RNAcentral. Lineage: Eukaryota; Fungi; Chytridiomycota; Chytridiomycetes; Spizellomycetales; Powellomycetaceae.